UCAGGAAAUUUGGUCUCUUUGCAGUGCACAUGAUAUCUGGAUUUCAUGUACACACAUUGCAGUUUGUUGCCAAGGUGCAUUUGAAGGACCAAACAAGAACAAUCAAAAGCCUUAGUUAGAGCUCCAUAGUGGCCGACACAGACAUGGUUUCCAUUAUUAAUGAAACUUCUGGUGCAGAACCCGUUGAUUCUACCGAGAGGAAAGAAGCUCUACCUUCCACAUCAAGAGUUACCACAUCCUCUCAAGGAAGAACUAGUUUUAAUAGCAUGCAAAGUGUCAGGAAUUCUUACAGAAAACAGGGUUUUUCUAGAACGGCUACCAUGGCAGAAUUUUUAUGUCCUCUUGGCAAAAUUCAACAAAAUGUCAAUAUCAAUGCUAUAUUUCAAGAUGGAUUUUAGUAUUGCGAUAGAAAACAAAUUUCUCAAGUUUCAAUUUCUAUAACAGAUGUAGUUGAAUUUUUAACUGAACAAUAUAACAAAGGGCUAGGAUAUAGUGCCUUGAAUACUGCACGUGGUGCUCUUCCAUCAAUGGGAAUUUGAUUGGAUACUUUCCAUGCUGGUUCUCACCCUACUGUUGUGAGAUUUAUGAAGGGAGUGUAUAAUCUUAGAACUCCUACGCCAAAACUUACUGAAACAUGGGACGUAAAUUUGGUACUGAAUUAUUUGCGGAAACUUUCGCCUGUGAGGACUCUUACGCUUAAGGAUUUAAAAUUGAAAUUGACCACGCUGUUGGGACUUACGAACGCAGCUAGGGCACAGACUUUACAUGUUUUGAGUUAUAAACUGUUAAAAAAGUUCAGUUCAGGUUACAUAAAUUCAGUUUAAUAGUUUGUUCAAACAGAGUCGGCCAGGCUUUGAUUGUUCUUCUUUAGUUUUAAAAGCUUAUCCUCCAGAUAGGAGAUUGUGUGCUAUAACUGUGUUGAAGGAAUAUUUAGUUAGAACUAAACCAUGUAGAAAUAAUACCGAUGAUAGUCUACUUAUAAGUUAUAUCAAACCAUUCUGACCGGUUACCAGAGAUACAAUAAGCCGGUGGAUUCAUGUUGUGAUGGCAAGAUCAGGAAUCGACACCCAGAAAUUUACUGCUCACAGUGUUCGGGCAGCAGCUUCAUCUAAGGCCAAAACUAUGGGGUUCUAAUAUCUGACAUUCUGAAGACAGCGGGCUGGUCUCAGGAAAGUACAUUCAUAAAUUAUUACAACAAAACUAUCCAUGGACAGAACACCUUUGCUGAAACAGUGUUAAGGAUGUGAUAACAGAUCUAACAAAAAGGUUACUGCAUGGCUGAUUUUUUUACAUGGUGUGGUGGUUUGAGUGCCUCUAUGACCAGGAGAGCUAUGCCAGCGGAAGUUUCAACUCUUGACAGGGCUUCCCAAGCUAGACAGAUUGAAGGGUAGAGGACAGACAAGAAUAUCAUGCAGCCAACACUACUGGAGGCUAAGAAGUAUGCCACAUCAGCUGGUAGUCAGUGUUUAUCAG
Molecule: long non-coding RNA, 1473 nt
Organism: Dreissena polymorpha
Lineage: Eukaryota; Metazoa; Mollusca; Bivalvia; Myida; Dreissenidae
Exons: 3
Source: RefSeq, a predicted model, not a curated record